UUUCCCUACGGGAGGCAGCAGUGGGGAAUAUUGGGCAAUGGAGGCAACUCUGACCCAGCAACGCCGCGUGAACGAUGAAGGUCUUCGGAUUGUAAAGUUCUUUAAGUGGGGACGAAGAAAGCGACUGUACCCACAGAAUAAGCAUCGGCUAACUCCGUGCCAGCAGCCGCGGUAAUACGGAGGAUGCGAGCGUUAUCCGGAUUUAUUGGGUUUAAAGGGUGCGUAGGCGGAUUUUUAAGUCAGCGGUAAAAUGUCCGGGCUCAACCCGGGCCGGCCGUUGAAACUGGGGAUCUUGAGUGGGCGAG
This 305-nucleotide ribosomal RNA is filed under the name uncultured bacterium. Its description in RNAcentral is "bacterial SSU rRNA". It matches the Rfam family "Bacterial small subunit ribosomal RNA", at positions 334 to 654 of the family's 1533-position model. The record is from RNAcentral.